RNAcentral lists this ribosomal RNA (478 nucleotides) under uncultured bacterium. RNAcentral's name for it is "partial 16S ribosomal RNA". It matches the Rfam family "Bacterial small subunit ribosomal RNA", at positions 30 to 523 of the family's 1533-position model. The record is from RNAcentral.
AGCGAACGCUGGCGGCAGGCUUAACACAUGCAAGUCGAACGGUAAGGCCCUUCGGGGUACACGAGUGGCGAACGGGUGAGUAACACGUGGGUGAUCUGCCCUGCACUUCGGGAUAAGCCUGGGAAACUGGGUCUAAUACCGGAUAGGACUCCGGACUGCAUGGUCUGGGGUGGAAAGCUUUUGCGGUGUGGGAUGGGCCCGCGGCCUAUCAGCUUGUUGGUGGGGUGAUGGCCUAGCAAGGCGACGACGGGUAGCCGGCCUGAGAGGGUGACCGGCCACACUGGGACUGAGAUACGGCCCAGACUCCUACGGGAGGCAGCAGUGGGGAAUAUUGCACAAUGGGCGCAAGCCUGAUGCAGCGACGCCGCGUGAGGGAUGACGGCCUUCGGGUUGUAAACCUCUUUCAGCAUCGACGAAGCGAAAGUGACGGUAGGUGCAGAAGAAGGACCGGCCAACUACGUGCCAGCCGCCGCCGUAA